RNAcentral lists this ribosomal RNA (1764 nucleotides) under Rhodospirillales bacterium RIFCSPLOWO2_02_FULL_58_16. RNAcentral's name for it is "bacterial LSU rRNA". It matches the Rfam family "Bacterial large subunit ribosomal RNA", at positions 1 to 1929 of the family's 2925-position model. Lineage: Bacteria; Pseudomonadati; Pseudomonadota; Alphaproteobacteria; Rhodospirillales. The record is from RNAcentral.
UCUCAAGUAUAAGAAGGGCAUUUGGUGGAUGCCUUGGCGCGUAAAGGCGAUGAAAGACGUGGUACGCUGCGAUAAGCUUCGGGGAGCUGCGAACAAGCUUUGAUCCGAGGAUUUCUGAAUGGGGCAACCCACCCCUUAGGGGGUAUCGUGUACUGAAUACAUAGGUGCAUGAGGCAAACCCGGAGAACUGAAACAUCUAAGUACCCGGAGGAAAGGACAUCAACCGAGACUCCGCUAGUAGUGGCGAGCGAACGCGGACUAGGCCAGUGGCCAGUAUGUAAGAACCGGAACCGUCUGGAAAGGCGGGCCAUAGUGGGUGAUAGCCCCGUACGGGUAGAAAGCAUAUUGGUCCUUGAGUAGGGCGGGACACGAGAAAUCCUGUCUGAACAUGGGGGGACCACCCUCCAAGCCUAAGUACUCUUACGCGACCGAUAGUGAACAAGUACCGUGAGGGAAAGGUGAAAAGAACCCCGAUAAGGGGAGUGAAAUAGACCUGAAACCGAAUGCCUACAAGCAGUGGGAGCACCUAUAAGGUGUGACCGCGUACCUUUUGUAUAAUGGGUCAGCGACUUAAUUUCUUGAGCAAGCUUAAGCCGAUAGGUGUAGGCGUAGCGAAAGCGAGUCUGAAUAGGGCGAAUAAGUUCAAGGUAUUAGACCCGAAACCCGGUGAUCUAGCCAUGAGCAGGUUGAAGGUGGGGUAACACCCACUGGAGGACCGAACCCACGUCUGUUGAAAAAGACGGGGAUGACUUGUGGCUAGGGGUGAAAGGCCAAUCAAACCGGGAGAUAGCUGGUUCUCCGCGAAAUCUAUUUAGGUAGAGCGUCAUGUGAUUACCAUCGGGGGUAGAGCACUGGAUGGGCUAGGGGGUCCCACAGACUUACCAAACCUAACCAAACUCCGAAUACCGAUGAGUACAGCGUGGCAGACAGACAAUGGGUGCUAAGGUCCGUUGUCGAGAGGGAAACAGCCCAGACCGCCAGCUAAGGUCCCAAAGUCAUGGCUAAGUGGAAAAGGAUGUGGGAAGGCCAAGACAACCAGGAGGUUGGCUUAGAAGCAGCCAUCCUUUAAAGAAAGCGUAAUAGCUCACUGGUCUAGAUAAGCUAUCCUGCGCCGAAGAUGUAACGGGGCUAAAGCCAUGCACCGAAGCUGCGGAUGUGAUCUUUUAGAUCACGUGGUAGCGGAGCGUUCCGUAAGCCUGUGAAGGUGUGCCGCGAGGCAUGCUGGAGGUAUCGGAAGUGAAUAUGCUGACAUGAGUAGCGAUAAAGAGUGUGAGAAACACUCUCGCCGUAAGUCCAAGGGUUCCUGCGCAAGGCUAAUCCGCGCAGGGUGAGCCGGCCCCUAAGGUGAGGGCGAAAGCCGUAGCCGAUGGGAACCACGUUAAUAUUCGUGGGCCUGCUGGAGGUGACGAAUACCGUAAGUUGUAUUCCCUUAUUGGAUUGGGGAUGCAGCGAAGGUGUUCCAGGAAAUAACCCCGGCAAUAUAGACCGUACCCUAAACCGACACAGGUGGACAGGUAGAGAAUACCAAGGCGCUUGAGAGAACGGUGUUGAAGGAACUCGGCAAAAUGCACCCGUAACUUCGGAAUAAGGGUGACCGCCGCUUGGGCAACCAGGUGGCGGUGGCACAGAAUUGGGGGUGGCGACUGUUUAAUAAAAACACAGGACUCUGCUAAGUCGCAAGACGAAGUAUAGGGUCUGACGCCUGCCCGGUGCCGGAAGGUUAAGAGGAGGGGUGCAAGCUCUGAAUCGAAGCCCCGGUAAACG